AUGAUUUCGACAUGUAUCAUUCCAUCUCUACCGAGAGCCACCGCAAGACCCAGAUCCUCUGUUGCACCAGUCCGUCCAGACGCGACCCUUCAUCUCACCGGCAAUCGAACACCACUCCUCCGCCAGCCAUUAGUCCCCGCCAAGCCUUCAGGCGACCGCAAUCUCUGCGGAAUCGCACCCCUGCAGCCUUCCAUUCACGCCCCUAACUCCAGCCGGCGCACUGCUCUAACCUCUCCAGCCGUCCAGCAACCCAGAUCGCAAUCCACGAAACCACCGCUCAUCACCUGCGGCAAAACCGCAACAACAACAACCACCUCUACCUCCAUUCAGAUCCACGUGCGAUCUCCUCCCUUUGGACGACUCUCCUCCUCGAGCCUACAUCCGUCAUUCGUGCAGCCCCCUCCGUUCCGUUUCCCGUGCGCCGUCAACUCACCGACGAUCGCUCCGACGACCCCCAGCUACCUCGUCGAGAUCCCUCCGUUCAUCCGCGGACAGCGUCCCUGA
Molecule: non-coding RNA, 504 nt
Organism: Vicia faba (fava bean)
Lineage: Eukaryota; Viridiplantae; Streptophyta; Magnoliopsida; Fabales; Fabaceae
Source: the annotation of a GenBank genome assembly